This 72-nucleotide transfer RNA is filed under the name Ornithorhynchus anatinus (platypus). It matches the Rfam family "tRNA". From Rfam's summary of the family: Transfer RNA (tRNA) molecules are approximately 80 nucleotides in length. Their secondary structure includes four short double-helical elements and three loops (D, anti-codon, and T loops). The record is from Rfam by way of RNAcentral. Lineage: Eukaryota; Metazoa; Chordata; Mammalia; Monotremata; Ornithorhynchidae.
AGCAGUGUGGCUUAGUGGAAAGAGCACAGGCUUGGGAGUUAGAGGUUGUGGGUUCUAAUCCCACAUCUGCCA